Molecule: ribosomal RNA, 278 nt
Filed under: Clostridium perfringens
Lineage: Bacteria; Bacillati; Bacillota; Clostridia; Eubacteriales; Clostridiaceae
Description: partial 16S ribosomal RNA
Rfam family: Bacterial small subunit ribosomal RNA
Source: RNAcentral
UAAAUUGAGAGUUUGAUCCUGGCUCAGGAUGAACGCUGGCGGCGUGCUUAACACAUGCAAGUCGAGCGAUGAAGUUUCCUUCGGGAAACGGAUUAGCGGCGGACGGGUGAGUAACACGUGGGUAACCUGCCUCAUAGAGUGGAAUAGCCUUCCGAAAGGAAGAUUAAUACCGCAUAAUGUUGAAAGAUGGCAUCAUCAUUUAACCAAAGGAGCAAUCCGCUAUGAGAUGGACCCGCGGCGCAUUAGCUAGUUGGUGGGGUAACGGCCUACCAAGGCGA